RNAcentral lists this ribosomal RNA (449 nucleotides) under uncultured organism. RNAcentral describes it as "partial 16S ribosomal RNA". It matches the Rfam family "Bacterial small subunit ribosomal RNA", at positions 335 to 800 of the family's 1533-position model. The record is from RNAcentral.
ACUCCUGCGGGAGGCAGCAGUGGGGAAUAUUGGACAAUGGGCGCAAGCCUGAUCCAGCCAUGCCGCGUGAGUGAUGAAGGCCCUAGGGUUGUAAAGCUCUUUCACCGGUGAAGAUAAUGACGGUAACCGGAGAAGAAGCCCCGGCUAACUUCGUGCCAGCAGCCGCGGUAAUACGAAGGGGGCUAGCGUUGUUCGGAUUUACUGGGCGUAAAGCGCACGUAGGCGGACUAUUAAGUCAGGGGUGAAAUCCCGGGGCUCAACCCCGGAACUGCCUUUGAUACUGGUAGUCUUGAGUUCGAGAGAGGUGAGUGGAAUUCCGAGUGUAGAGGUGAAAUUCGUAGAUAUUCGGAGGAACACCAGUGGCGAAGGCGGCUCACUGGCUCGAUACUGACGCUGAGGUGCGAAAGCGUGGGGAGCAAACAGGAUUAGAUACCCCAGCAGUCCCAUGA